GCCAACCAGCUAGCUUAAUUACUAAUAUAAUUCAACUACAUUUAUAACAAAACAUGACCUAACACCACAAACUAAACCAUUUUUUUACCUGAGUAUGGGAGACAGAAAAG
Molecule: ribosomal RNA, 110 nt
Filed under: Rhynchocypris lagowskii steindachneri
Lineage: Eukaryota; Metazoa; Chordata; Actinopteri; Cypriniformes; Leuciscidae
Description: Phoxinus steindachneri partial 16S ribosomal RNA
Source: RNAcentral